Non-coding RNA from Phasianus colchicus (ring-necked pheasant), 296 nucleotides. NCBI's taxonomy places the organism in Eukaryota, Metazoa, Chordata, Aves, Galliformes, Phasianidae. The record is from RefSeq and is a predicted model, not a curated record.
UGGGGGUGGCCGCUGGGGGGAGGUGGUGGCCAUGGGGGUGAGGUGGUGGCUGUGGGGUCAAGAUGGCGGCCAUGGGGUCAAGAUGGCGGCCAUGGGAUUGAGGUGGUGGCCAUGGGGUCAAGAUGGCGGCCGUGGGGUCAAGAUGGCGGCCGUGGGGAUGAGAUGGUGGCCGUGGGGAUGAGGCGGUGGCCAUGGGGACAAGAUGGUGGGCAUUGGGAUGAGGUGGUGGCCAUGGGGUCAAGAUGGCGGCCAUGGGGUCAAGAUGGCGGCCAUGGGAUUGAGGUGGUGGCCAUGGG